RNAcentral lists this small RNA (552 nucleotides) under Pan troglodytes (chimpanzee). Its description in RNAcentral is "processed transcript". The record is from RNAcentral. Lineage: Eukaryota; Metazoa; Chordata; Mammalia; Primates; Hominidae.
AGAUACAACAGAGGAAGCUGCAUAUUGGAUGUUGGAGCUGACUUAGAAAUGAAACCCUCAUUUUGUUCACAAGGAAAGGAUUGUUUUUAGCCUGGGUCACUGCUGCAGAGAGAGAUUUUUUUCCCUCUCUCUGUAAUGUUUGAUACUUGAGGGAAAACAGCUGGGCCUGAGCAUGCUGACUCCCUGCAAAGUGCAAUGGGCUGCUGGGGAAUAUGGACUGUACUGUAUGGCUGAAAGUCAAGAGAACAAUCGGAUGAUGAGACUGAGGAGUCGGUGAAGUUUAAGAGGUUACACAAGCUGGUAAACUCCACUCGCAGAGUCAGAAAGAAACUAAUUAGGGUGGAAGAAAUGAAAAAACCCAGCACUGAAGGUGGGGAGGAGCACGUGUUUGAGAAUUCGCCGGUCCUGGAUGAACGGUCCGCCCUCUACUCUGGCGUGCACAAGAAGCCCCUUUUCUUUGAUGGCUCUCCUGAGAAACCUCCCGAAGAUGACUCAGACUCUCUCACCACGUCUCCAUCCUCCAGCAGCCUGGACACCUGGGGGGCUGGCCGG